UGCCAUGAUGUCGUAAUUUGCGCCUUACUCUGUAUACAGUGACAGUUGCCUGCUGUCAUCAGGCUGGUACAGAUGGUUGAUGAUCAGCUAACUCUGAGCA
Molecule: small nucleolar RNA, 100 nt
Organism: Podarcis muralis (Common wall lizard)
Lineage: Eukaryota; Metazoa; Chordata; Lepidosauria; Squamata; Lacertidae
Gene: SNORD16
Rfam family: Small nucleolar RNA SNORD16
About the family: U16 is a member of the C/D class of snoRNA which contain the C (UGAUGA) and D (CUGA) box motifs. U81 acts as a guanine methylation guide and is found in an intron of ribosomal proteins L1 gene in animals.
Source: Ensembl